RNAcentral lists this ribosomal RNA (440 nucleotides) under uncultured bacterium. RNAcentral's name for it is "bacterial SSU rRNA". It matches the Rfam family "Bacterial small subunit ribosomal RNA", at positions 338 to 795 of the family's 1533-position model. The record is from RNAcentral.
CCUACGGGGGGCUGCAGUAAGGAAUAUUCCGCAAUGGGCGAAAGCCUGACGGAGCAAUGCCGCGUGUGGGAUGAAGCGGUUUCGCCGUGUAAACCACUGUCAGAAGAUAGAAAAGAUGAUCAUCUUCAGAGGAAGGGGCGACUAACUCUGUGCCAGCAGUCGCGGUAAGACAGAGGCCCCGAGCGUUAGUCGGAAUCACUGGGCUUAAAGGGUGCGUAGGCGGGCGCGUAAGUGCUUUGUGAAAGCCCUGGGCUCAACCCAGGAAUUGCAGGGCAUACUGCGCGUCUCGAGGUAGCUAGAGGCCGGUAGAACGAUCGGUGGAGCGGUGGAAUGCGUAGAGAUCGAUCGGAAUGCCAAGGGUGAAGACAACCGGCUGGGGCUUACCUGACGCUGAGGCACGAAAGCGUGGGGAUCAAACAGGCUUAGAUACCCUGGUAGUC